Molecule: non-coding RNA, 1700 nt
Organism: Capsicum annuum
Lineage: Eukaryota; Viridiplantae; Streptophyta; Magnoliopsida; Solanales; Solanaceae
Source: Rfam
CCCGAGGAGUUUAAGCAUAUCAAUAAGUGGAGAAAAAAAACUUACAAGGAUUCCCUAAGUAAUAGCGAGCGAAUCAGGAAUAACCCAGCCAUAGAAUCAGGCAGCUCUGUCAACCGAAUUGUAGUCUGAAGAAGCAUCUUCAAUGGCUGACCGGGCCCAAGUCCCUUGGAAGGGGGAGCCAGAGAGGGUGAGAGCCCCAUUGUACUUAGACCCUAUCACACCAUGAGGUGCUAUCUACGAGUUGGAUUGUUUGGGAAUGCAGCCCAAAUCAGGCGGUAAAUUCUGUCCAAGACUAAAUACGGGUGAGAGAUCGAUAGUAAACAAGUACUGAGAGUGAAACAUGAAAAGGACUUUGAAAAAAGAGUCAAAUAGUGCUUAAAAUUGUUGGGAGGGAAGCGGAUGGGGGCCAGUAAUGCAUCCUAGUCAGAUGUAAAAUGGUGAUGAGCUGAUCCACCGAUCGACUCGGGGCAUGGACCAGCGUGGAUUGGGGGAGGCUAAAGCUUGGGCUUUCAAUACGUUUAUGGAAUGCUGUCUACUUGAUUGUGGUAGGUAGUGCAUGCCUUUGGUAUGCUUCGAUAUCUACGCACUCCAGAUGCUAGCUUGUGGGCUUCUCAUUUGACCCAUAUUAAAACACGGACCAAGUAGUCUGAUAUAUGUGUGAAUCAAUGGGUGAGUAAACCCAUAAGGCAUAAAAAAGCUGAUCGGUGGGAUCCCUCUGAGGGGUACACCACUGAACGACCUUGAUCAUCUGAGAAUGGUUCGAGUGUGAGCAUACUUGUGGGGACUCGAAAGAUGGUGAACAAUGCCUGAGUGGGGUAAAGCCAGAGAAAACUCUGGCAGAGGCCCGCAACGAUACUGGCAUACAAAUUGUUCGUCUUACUUGGGUAUUGGGGUGAAAUACCAAUCGAACUGUCUAGUAGCUGUUUCCCUAUGAAGUUUUCCACAGGAUAGCUGGAGCUCGCACGCGAGUUCUAUCGAGUAAAGAAAAUGAUUAGAGGCCUCGGGGGCGCAACUCUCUUGACCUAUUCUAAAACUUUAAAUUGGUAAGAUAGCAUGACUGCUUUGUUGAGCCGUGCCAUGAAAUCGAGAGCUCCAAGUAAGCCAUUUUUGGUAAGAAGAACAUGCAAUGCGGGAUGAACUGAAAGUCGAGUUAUGGUACCAAACUGUGCGUUAACCUAGAUCUCAGAAAGGGUGUUGGUCAAUUAAGAUAGCCGAACGAUGGUCAUGGAAGUCAAAAUCUGCUAAGGUGUGUGUAAUAACUCAACUUCCAAAUCAACUAUCCCCAAAAAUGGAUGGCACUUAAGCGCGCGACCUACACCCGAUCGUUGAGGCAAGUGUCAGGCCCUGAUGAGUAGGAGGGUGUGACAGUCACUGAAAGAUCUUGGGUGUAAUCCCAGGCAAAGCAGUCUUCGGUGCAGAUAUUAGUGGUAGUAGAAAAUAUUCAAAUAAGAACUGUGAAGGUCGAAGAGGGGAAAGGUUCCAUGUGAACGACACUUGACAUGGGUUACUCGAUCCUAUAAUGUAACACCUUGAUUUUCUGAACCAAAAUGCUACGCGGUGCUCAUGACCCCGAAGGAACACAAGCUAACCCAUAACUGUUAUCUGUAACUGUAUACUGUAUAAUAUAUAUAAAAUAUGGAAACAUGAACAUGAAAGGCCAUAACGUUCGAACUGAAUAAACGCCUGAUAACAAAAUGUCU